GAUGAACGCUGGCGGCGUGCCUAAUACAUGCAAGUCGAGCGAACGGACGAGAAGCUUGCUUCUCUAAUGUUAGCGGCGGACGGGUGAGUAACACGUGGAUAACCUACCUAUAAGACUGGGAUAACUUCGGGAAACCGUAGCUAAUACCGGAUAAUAUUUUGAACCGCAUGGUUCAAAAGUGAAAGACGGUCUUGCUGUCACUUAUAGAUGGAUCCGCGCUGCAUUAGCUAGUUGGUAAGGUAACGGCUUACCAAGGCAACGAUGCAUAGCCGACCUGAGAGGGUGAUCGGCCACACUGGAACUGAGACACGGUCCAGACUCCUACGGGAGGCAGCAGUAGGGAAUCUUCCGCAAUGGGCGAAAGCCUGACGGAGCAACGCCGCGUGAGUGAUGAAGGUCUUCGGAUCGUAAAACUCUGUUAUUAGGGAAGAACAUAUGUGUAAGUAACUGGGCACAUCUUGACGGUACCUAAUCAGAAAGCCACGGCUAACUACGUGC
RNAcentral lists this ribosomal RNA (498 nucleotides) under uncultured bacterium. RNAcentral's name for it is "partial 16S ribosomal RNA". It matches the Rfam family "Bacterial small subunit ribosomal RNA", at positions 28 to 508 of the family's 1533-position model. The record is from RNAcentral.